ACGGAAGGCAGCAGUGGGGAAUUUUGCGCAAUGGGGGCAACCCUGACGCAGCAACGCCGCGUGCGGGAUGACGGCCUUCGGGUUGUAAACCGCUUUCAGCAGGGACGAUUAUGACGGUACCUGCAGAAGAAGCUCCGGCUAACUACGUGCCAGCAGCCGCGGUAAUACGUAGGGAGCGAGCGUUAUCCGGAUUCAUUGGGCGUAAAGCGCGCGUAGGCGGCUUGCUAAGCGGAACCUCUAAUCCGAGGGCUCAACCCCCGGCCGGGUUCCGAACUGGCGGGCUCGAGUGCGGUAGGGGCAGGUGGAAUUCCAUGUGUAGCGGUGGAAUGCGCAGAUAUAUGGAAGAACACCGAUGGCGAAGGCAGCCUGCUGGGCCGUCACUGACGCUGAGGUGCGAAAGCGUGGGGAGCGAACAGGAUUAGAUACCCUGGUA
Molecule: ribosomal RNA, 433 nt
Filed under: uncultured Coriobacteriaceae bacterium
Lineage: Bacteria; Bacillati; Actinomycetota; Coriobacteriia; Coriobacteriales; Coriobacteriaceae
Description: partial 16S ribosomal RNA
Rfam family: Bacterial small subunit ribosomal RNA
Source: RNAcentral